GACGAACGCUGGCGGCGUGCUUAACACAUGCAAGUCGAACGGAAAGGCCCUGCUUUUGUGGGGUGCUCGAGUGGCGAACGGGUGAGUAUAACGCGAGUAACCUGCCCUUGACUUUGGGAUAACUUCAGGAAACUGGGGCUAAUAACGGAUAGGAGCUCUUGCUGCAUGGUGGUGGUUGGAAAGUUUCGGCGGUUGGGGAUGGACUCGCGGCUUAUCAGCUUGUUGGUGGGGUGGUGGCUUACCAAGGCUUUGACGGGUAGCCAGCCUGAGAGGGUGACCGGCCACAUUGGGACUGAGAUACGGCCCAGACUCCUACGGGAGGCAGAAGUGGGGAAUAUUGCACAAUGGGCGGAAGCCUGAUGCAGCAACGCCGCGUGCGAGAUGACGGCCUUCAGGUUGUAAACCGCUUGCGCCUGUGACGAAGCGUGAGUGACGGUAAUGGGUAAAGAAGCACCGGCUAACUACGUG
RNAcentral lists this ribosomal RNA (468 nucleotides) under uncultured bacterium. Its description in RNAcentral is "partial 16S ribosomal RNA". It matches the Rfam family "Bacterial small subunit ribosomal RNA", at positions 28 to 507 of the family's 1533-position model. The record is from RNAcentral.